RNAcentral lists this unclassified non-coding RNA (229 nucleotides) under Hevea brasiliensis (rubber tree). Lineage: Eukaryota; Viridiplantae; Streptophyta; Magnoliopsida; Malpighiales; Euphorbiaceae. The record is from RNAcentral.
GUGAAGAAUGCAUCGGAUGAUAAUGGCCUUGAUAAAACAGCUCAACAGGAUUCAUUCCGGAGAAUAAACAACGUUUGUAUGCAGAUGAUGCGGCAACUGUGUUCAGUCCACAGUAAGCAAAUUCAUACUCAAGUGAAAAUUGUAGCUGAUGCGUAGCAGGGAUCAGUGGCCACAGAAGCCAGAGAGCUGGAGGCAAACUGGGUAAUCUUAGAUAGAUGCUUGAAGAAAG